AGAGUUUGAUCCUGGCUCAGAUUGAACGCUGGCGGCAUGCCUUACACAUGCAAGUCGAACGGCAGCACGGGUGCUUGCACCUGGUGGCGAGUGGCGAACGGGUGAGUAAUACAUCGGAACGUACCUUAUCGUGGGGGAUAACGCAGCGAAAGCUGUGCUAAUACCGCAUACGCCCUGAGGGGGAAAGCGGGGGAUCGAAAGACCUCGCGCGAUUAGAGCGGCCGAUGCCUGAUUAGCUUGUUGGUGGGGUAAAAGCCCACCAAGGCGACGAUCAGUAGCUGGUCUGAGAGGACGAUCAGCCACACUGGGACUGAGACACGGCCCAGACUCCUACGGGAGGCAGCAGUGGGGAAUUUUGGACAAUGGGGGAAACCCUGAUCCAGCAAUGCCGCGUGAGUGAAGAAGGCCUUCGGGUUGUAAAGCUCUUUUGUCAGGGAAGAAACACCGGCUCUAACACAGUCCGGGAAUGACGGUACCUGAAGAAUAAGCACCGGCUAACUACGUGCCAGCAGCCGCGGUAAUACGUAGGGUGCGAGCGUUAAUCGGAAUUACUGGGCGUAAAGCGUGCGCAGGCGGUUAUACAAGACAGGCGUGAAAUCCCCGGGCUUAACCUGGGAAUGGCGCCUGUGACUGUAUAGCUAGAGUGUGUCAGAGGGGGGUAGAAUUCCACGUGUAGCAGUGAAAUGCGUAGAUAUGUGGAGGAAUACCAAUGGCGAAGGCAGCCCCCUGGGAUAACACUGACGCUCAUGCACGAAAGCGUGGGGAGCAAACAGGAUUAGAUACCCUGGUAGUCCACGCCCUAAACGAUGCUGACUAGUUGUUCGGGAUUUACAUCCUGAGUAACGUAGCUAACGCGUGAAGUCAGCCGCCUGGGGAGUACGGUCGCAAGAUUAAAACUCAAAGGAAUUGACGGG
This 914-nucleotide ribosomal RNA is filed under the name uncultured bacterium. RNAcentral's name for it is "bacterial SSU rRNA". It matches the Rfam family "Bacterial small subunit ribosomal RNA", at positions 8 to 917 of the family's 1533-position model. The record is from RNAcentral.